This 65-nucleotide transfer RNA is filed under the name Scraptia sp. SCR02. RNAcentral describes it as "tRNA-Leu". Lineage: Eukaryota; Metazoa; Arthropoda; Insecta; Coleoptera; Scraptiidae. The record is from RNAcentral.
UUUUUUAUGGCAGAAUAGUGCAAUGGAUUUAAAUCCCAUAUAUAAAAAUAUUUUUUGUUAGAAAU